UAUUCCAGGAUAUGCAAA
This 18-nucleotide non-coding RNA is filed under the name Arabidopsis thaliana (thale cress). The record is from RNAcentral. Lineage: Eukaryota; Viridiplantae; Streptophyta; Magnoliopsida; Brassicales; Brassicaceae.